This 552-nucleotide long non-coding RNA is filed under the name Nicotiana benthamiana. RNAcentral's name for it is "long non-coding RNA (NBEN_LNC025418)". The record is from RNAcentral. Lineage: Eukaryota; Viridiplantae; Streptophyta; Magnoliopsida; Solanales; Solanaceae.
UUGUUGUUGAAUUGCCAUGGAAGAAUCUACUGCUUGCUGAAUAUCCAUGCUGAUUAGAAAAUACUUCCAUGGACUCAUGCAGGAUGGAACACGUUGGAAAAGUAAGACUAGCAUCACUAUUUGUAUGUAGUUAUAAGACAUUUUAAUGUCCUAUAAAUAUGCUUUUUGCCUAUACUUUUAAUAAGCCUUCAAUUCACCGACGUGCAGAUCGAAGAAGAAAGAGUAAUGCGAUAACCCAGAAAGAUACCACUUGGAUAUCUCUGUGUCUAUUUUGUGAAGGAUAGACUUUGGAACACAUGCAUCUAGACCCCAAGCAGGACUGUGACACUAUAUUUUCAUAAUAGUAUCCGCAAAAGGUAAUAUCUGUAGGGAAAAAUACUAAUUAGCAUUUUGAAUCAUUUUAGAUACUAGUGAAGUUCCAAAUAAUUUCAUCUUCAUUUAAGUUGAAUUAUUGCUUGAGCUGGGGUAUCAAUAUAAUAAAGCUCUAAUGGGGAAUAGGUAUACCGUAAUUAUAAUUACUCUUUCACCGAUCUCUAAGCAUUGUCUUCAACA